Struthio camelus australis is the source of this 2918-nucleotide long non-coding RNA. NCBI's taxonomy places the organism in Eukaryota, Metazoa, Chordata, Aves, Struthioniformes, Struthionidae. The record is from Ensembl.
AGAGAUAAGAACUACCACUAGGUGAACAUGAGUCAGCAACCAGUUGUCCACAACUCCAUUAGCAACACAGACUAGUGAUGUCUUUAGGAUAACUUCAAGCUGUUUGUCUGAAACAAAGGACUUGCGUGGGUCUGAUAUGAAGCUUGGAAGAAAUGUGGCCAGGACGUUCUUGGACUACUACAGGCUGAAUGCCUUGGUGGAGAGACCGCUAGCACCUAUUCCUAAAACUCGGAAAGAAAAACUGCCGCUUUUUAAAUGCACUACCCAGCGGGGCCAAGGGAGCAGCCAUGUUGGCAGGAAGCCAGAGAAGAGGAGCCAGACAAAUCUCAAGGAGCCGUCUCUCUCCACAUGAUGCUAGGAGAGGAGGGCUGGUCUGCGGGGCUGAGGCGAAGGAGCACGUCUGGGUUCUGGAACUGAUAAGGUUUCUCUUUUUUCCCAGACAAGUAUUUCUAAGGUAACAAAUAGGCCAAGGGCGAAAGAGGGAGAGGGAAAUUAGCUAGAAAUUUUACUAUUGAUUCUUUUUUAUUUAUAGAUGGUAAAUCAAUUUCAGGCCCUUUUUUUUUUUUUUUUUUGGCUCAUCUCUGGGAAAAAGAGCAACCCAAUGGAUUUACAGAAAUCAUUUGCUGUGGCUGAAAAGCUAUUUGUUAAAACGAGAAAGCCUCGCCUUCCUUCACCAGCCCCUCUCUCUCUUUAAAGGGGUAAUCCAUACGGUGAGCCAACGAGGGACUCCUUGCUCCCCUGCUGCACCAUGUGUUGUCUCUCCUUUCAGUGUCAGGCUCAGAAGCUUUUAUGCCAAUUGCAUGUGCUAGUCCAGUUAGCUUGCAUUAAGAGAGCCUGAUAAAUAGCUUGUGGGAGUUAGGCAGGUGGUCCUUAGCGUGCUGUUUAUCAUCCACUGCAUGGUUAGUUUUUUGCUCUUCUAUCAAAUCAUUUGAGGAACGAGGUCAUACAAGGAAUGUUACUGAUGUCACCUGUCGUGCUGCAGGCAUGAAACUCACACCAAGACCUGUCCAACAGGCAGAAACCUUGGUCCUCUGGCAACGGCUGGCUGGGGCCCAACAGAUUUACCACUGAGGCAACGUGGGCUGGGGUAACACCAAAAGGGAUGAACCAAAAGUAUCAUGCUACUACUGCAAGAAAGCCCAGGUAAAGCCUUGCAGCCUUCUCAUUAGAUGGCCAGCACAUGAAACGUCUGCUCAAAGCCACUGUCACAAGGCAUCUCCCGGUCUUGUGUGAUUAAUAGGAAAUACCUUCCAGUGAUGUGGAUUUGAUGCUGUAGGCCAGUGGUUCUCAAACUGGAAAGCGAAAGAGGGUGACCCUGAGGGAGAGUGGGAGAGUCUCCCAGGCAAUGGGAAGGGAGAAGGCACUUAAAAGUGCCCCAGGCCCAUCAGAAAACUCUGGAAGCAAUUUCUCUUGACUUUCUUGUAGUAUGAGUUGAGCUGCAGCAGUGGCUUGGAGGAGAGAUGUGCUAAGCCCCACUGGAUGGAGAGGGAAAAGAUGAACCAGAUUGGGGGUGAAGAGAGAUGUGUGAAAUAAGACUGGAUUGGCAUCUCUUAGUGUGGGGUGGCCCUGAAGGCAUAGUAGCCCCUGACACUUAUUUCACUAGUCAGAAAGCAGGGUUGGUUGCUCUUCUGCUCUUUUCCAGGACUUGAGCCCUAUGAUCUAGGAGCAGGACAAAAUUCAGCUGGGUUCUCAAGCUGGGCUGUAUGUGAGAAGAAUGUAUCCUGGGGAGAAAUUAGGAGAUAUGAGAAGAAUUGAGAAUUACAGGCUAAAAUGGACCGUCCAGGCAACUUAAAUUUAUCAUCCUGUGUGGGAAUGCUCACAGGUUCUCCAGCAGUGGAGAACCGCUAAAUCUGGGCAUGACCAACACUGAACCGAGGUUUGAAGAACUGAAAGCAGCUCAGGUUUCAUUUAUGCAUCCAGGAAUCUAACAGACCCUUAUAUGUUCUCAUCUGUCUUUGAAUACCUUUGGCUCAUUCUCACCAUAUCUGUGUCACAAUGGAUGGAAGAGAGCUCUGCAUAAGUUCCUUUGGGCUCUUUUCAAUACUGGAGAAACACAAAGCAAGCGGAGUCAAGGAUAAGGUAUGUGUUCUGUGUGACAGGGCUACAGAAGUCUGUGGAAGGCCCUGAGACAAUACCCAGGCAGACCUCUCAGGAGCUACUCAGUUUCCAUCCAGUUAGCAUUUCUUCAAGCAGAACGAAUGGGCAGCCGCAAGUCAGGGCCUAAAUUUGGCCUUGCAUGCCUCCAAGAAAGGACCAGCUGCUAAGGAUCUGACAGAAUUUGAGCUGGCUGCAUCCAUGUGUUAGCCAGCUAUUAGCUAAGCUUUCAGUAGUUAGUUAGUUUCUCUCUAAUGGGAGGGGGGGGGGGAACUUGAUUGAAAAAAGGAAAAGCUGUCCCACUUGAAGGAGAGUGGUUUAAAACACCUUAGCAAACCUGACGUUGCCAGAAUUUCAAGGUGAGGGGGUUAAACUGUGUGUGUUUUUAUGGAAAAUGAAAUGCCUUAAUACGAUGAAUUCCAAGGCAUCUAAAAGACACAGUACUGGCUUUCUGUCUCCAAAAGCAGAGGAAUGAAUAGCAGAGACAGUGUGAUAAUUAAAAUGACCUCUUGGAGAUAUGGAUUAGAAGGUAUGCAGAAGGGGGAUAAAUUCUCUUUUGAAUUAAUCUAGUGUUAAUUUAUGACUAUCACUGGGUUUUAUAGGGUUUUAGCAGAAGACUUGCAAAGUUGUUUUACUGGGAGAAAUUUUUUUGCAUAUUCAUUGAAAAAAACACUUGCGGAAUUCUUUAUUUAUUUCUGAAUGACUUAAUAUAUACAUACACAUAUGGAGAGAGAAUUUCAGUUAUUUGCUUAGCCCCUAGGGGCUUAGCAGCUAAACUCUAGAAACCAUGAAUAAAGUGAUAAAAGUAGCUGCGUGUUGUCUCA